GUGUCAGCAGCCGCGGUAAGACAGAGGUCCCAAGCGUUAGGCGGAAUCACUGGGCUUAAAGCGUGUGUAGGCGGAUGUGCAAGUACCUUGUGAAAUCCCACGGCUUAACCGUGGAACUGCUUGGUAUACUGCAUGUCUUGAGGCAUCUAGAGGUAACUGGAACAAACGGUGGAGCGGUGAAAUGCGUAGAUAUCGUUUGGAACGCCUAAGGUGAAAACAGGUUACUGGGGAUGUUCUGACGCUGAGACACGAAAGCCAGGGGAGCAAACGGGAUUAGAAACCCCCGUAGUCC
Molecule: ribosomal RNA, 292 nt
Filed under: uncultured bacterium
Lineage: Bacteria
Description: partial 16S ribosomal RNA
Rfam family: Bacterial small subunit ribosomal RNA
Source: RNAcentral